UUUCAAGAAGGGUGUUUGUUUUAUUACUGGUCCACCAACACAACAGGUACAGGACCACAAAAGCAGCCACAAGAAAACAGGAACGCAGUCUAGUAAAAACAGAGGAAACACACUCCUCUACUAAACUGACGUGGGAAAAACAGUCCUGAAAAUAAACCUGCUUAACAGUAAAAAAUAAUGCAACCCAAACCAACGACAGUAUCACAAACAAUCCCGCACAAAACCUAGCGGGUAGGGCAAGAUUAAAUACCCCGCUGAUUAGCUAAACUAGACACAGGUGAACACAAGACAGACAAAACCAAAUGAAAAAGAAAAGGGAUCGGUGGCAGCUAGUAGGCCGGCGACGACGACCGCCGAGCACCGCCCGAACAGGGAGAGGAGCCACCUUCGGGGGAAGUCGUGACACUAUGCCAGAAAGAGUAUCCAACCUAGCAGUGCCUGCUUUCACUUACAUCAGGGGUGGGAGGAGAAAAGAGUCAGGGCUACCAAUCGAUUUGUUUGAUUCGCCUCCAAAAGGUAAAUAAGGCAAAUCGGGAGCCAAUUAAAUAAUUUGGGGCAAUCAGGAAGUCUCCCUGUAGACUACAGGAGGACAGUGAGGUUGAUGAGAAUAGUGUUUUCUUAGACACCAGCUGUGAAUGGAAAUCAAUGCUAAUAAUGAACCUGCAAGAUUGGAGUAAAGUGUUUGGGCUCUGAAAAACACAGAGGAAUGGAACACCCUCAGGAGGAUGGGUUGAACAACUAGACUAACAUUAGAUUUGUAUAUAAACUUAUAAAUAAACGUUACUUCUUUUUGAAUCACUUCAGGUUCCCCACAGUAGGAUUCUUUCAAUUUAAAGAGCUACACUUCCCUACGUAUGUAUUUGGAGAUUGAAGCUAAAACUUUUAAUUUGGCUCUAUACUCCAGCAUUUUGGAUUUGAGAUCAAAUGUAUUUCUAUCACGUAAUGACUACAUCAAGAUAGUGGCUCUACAAACUAAUUGGAUGCGUUUUCAGUUUGUUUUGGUUGUGUUUCAGAUUCUGUUGUGAAUGGUAAAUAAUGUAGUGUGUAAUUUUGGACUCUUUUUUUGUAAAUAAAUCAACUUUUUUUGUAAAUAAGAAAACAAUAUUUUUAUGAACAAUUCUACAUUAAUGGGGAUGCUACCAUGACUACAGAUAAUCAUAAAUAAUGAUGAGUGAGAAGGUUAUAAAGGCAUAAAAAUCAUACCCCGCAUAAAAUUCUAGCCUCAUCUGUUAAUGGUGAGAGGUUACCAUGUUUUGGGGGCCUUUUCCUACUAGAACUGACAAAUGCACUAAUUGUAAGUCCCUCUGGAUAACAGCGUCUGCUAAAUGACAAUUUUUUUGUUUAAGAAGUCAUUCAUUUUAUCUCAAAUACAAAAUGCUGGAGUAUAGAGCCAUAUAAAAUGUUUCAGCAUCACUGUCCAAAUAAAUACGUAGGGGAGUGUACAUGACAAGAGGACCAGCUAUAGGUGAUCAACCAGUUUAAUUGAAAUCAUAAUGAUUACUCUAGAAGAAUAAAGCAAGUGAUUAAAUUAGUGAUGCUCCAUAAAUAGGGAGAGUUAGUGGGCUAUAUAUACUCUGUCUCAACAUACAGGACGCAGUAGCAUAAUAUUGCAUAAGAGGAGAGGACCUGCCCAUGGACAAAGUGGGUCAUGACUCAUGCCUUUCAGUAGCACUACUUUACACUACGAGGCUCAGGGGAGAUGAAGGUGAAAGUUGCCUUUGACAGACGACAACACCUUUGAAAUUCUCAGAAGAAAGAAGGAGCAAUUUCUUUGAAGAAAUGUAAACUGGACAAUGACGUAAUUUGAGAUUGUCGUCCACAGCUGAGAUAUACAGUGCCUUCAAAAAGUAUUUAGACCCCUUGACUUUUUCCACGUUUUGUUACGUUACAGCCUUAUUCUAAAAUAGUUGUUUUAUUAUUAUCCUUUGCAAUCUACACACAAUACCUCAAUGACAAAGCGAAAAGUUUGAGCAAAUGUAUUCAGACCUUUUCUAUGAGACUUGAAAUUGAGCUCAGGUGCAUCCUGUUUCCAGUUGUUCAUCCUUGAGAUGUUUCUACAACCUGAUUGGAGUCCACCUGUGGUAAAUUCAAUUGAUUGAACAUGAUUUGGAAAGGCACACACCUGUCUAUAUAAGGUCCCACAGUUUACAGUGCAUGUCAGAGCAAAAACCAAGCAAUGAGGUCAAAGGAAUUAUCCGUAGAGGUCAGAGACAGGAUUGUGUCGAGACACAGAUCUGGAGAAGGGUACCAAAAAAUAUCUGCAGCAUUGAAGGUCCCCAAGAAAACAGUGACCUCCAUCAUUCUUAAAUGGAAGACGUUUGGAACCACCAAGACUCUUCCUAGAGCUCGGUACCCGGCCAAACUGAGCAAUCGGGGAGAAGGGCCUUGGUCAAGGAGGUGACCAAGAAGCCGAUGGCCACUCUGACAAAGCUCCAGAGGUCCUCUGUGGAGAUGGGAGAAACUUCCAGAAGGACAAAGAUCUCUGCAGCACUCCACCAAUCAGGCCUUAAUGGCAAGAGUGGCCAGACGGAAGCCACUCCUCAGUAAAAAGGCACAUGACAGCUCGCUUGGAGUUUGCCAAAAAGCACCUAGACUCUCAGAUAAUGAGAAAAAAGGUUAUCUGGCCUGAUGAAACCAAUAUUGAACUCUUAGGCCUGAAUGCCAAGCGUCACAUCUGGAGGAAACCUGGCACCAUCCCUACGGUGACGCAUGGUGGUGGAAGGAUCAUGCUGUGCCAGGGACUGGGAGACUUACCAGGAUCAAGGCAAAGAUGAACAGAGCAAAGUACAGAGGAAUCCUUGAUGAAAACCUGCUCCAGAGUGCUCAGGACCUCAGACUGGGGCAAAGAUUAUCCUUCCAACAGGACAACGACCCUAAGCACACAGCCAAGACAAUGCAGCAGUGGCUUUGAGACAAGUCUCAAUGUCCUUGAGUGGUCCAGCCAGAGCCCAGACUUAAACCCUUUUGUACAUCUCUGGAGAGACCUGAAAAUAGCUGUGCAGUAACGCUCCCCAUCCAACCUGACAGAGCUUGAGAUAAUCUGUAGAGAAGAAUGGGAGAAACUCCCCAAAUACAGGUGUGCCAAGCUUCUAACGUCAUACCCAAGAAGACUCAAUGCUGUAAUCACUGCCAAAGGUGCUUCAACAAAGUACUGAGUAAAGGGUCUGAAUACUUAUGUAAAUGUGAUAUUUUUUUCGUAAUAAAUUUGCAAAUAUUUCUAAAAUCUGUUUUUUCUUUGUCUUUAUGGGGUAUUGUAUGUAGAUUUAUGAGGGAAAAAACAAAAUGUGGAAAAAGUCAAGGGGUCUGAAUACUUUCCAAAGGCACUGUAUGUUCUCCCCCUGUGGUACAGUAUAUGCAUGGUAUUUUACAUGUGGAGAUACAAAUUCCUAUUCGGAGCUUUAGUGCUCCAAAAUCAUUAUUAUGUUAGUUUUCUUGUUGAGAUUAUGAAUAUAAAAGUAAAUAAAGUGCUAAAUAAAAUGCAGAAUUGUGUGCACACCAGCAUGAGUGUGCGAGUGAGAUGUUCUUACGUUGCCAGAGCACUCUGCUCCUGUCUCUCCUGCUCACUUGUGAUUUUGGAGUUGUAGUCUCUGGCUCGGAUCUCCCACACAUUUUUCAUCAGGUUGGCAUCACAGCCCCCCCCCAUCACCAGUGGGGCCAUCCCCACCGCCUCUGGUAUCUUUACCACCACAGACAUGAUGUCUUUCUC
This is a long non-coding RNA of Oncorhynchus tshawytscha (Chinook salmon), 3706 nucleotides long. Lineage: Eukaryota; Metazoa; Chordata; Actinopteri; Salmoniformes; Salmonidae. The record is from Ensembl.